GAUGAACGCUGGCGGCGUGCCUAAUACAUGCAAGUCGAGCGAACGGACGAGAAGCUUGCUUCUCUGAUGUUAGCGGCGGACGGGUGAGUAACACGUGGAUAACCUACCUAUAAGACUGGGAUAACUUCGGGAAACCGGAGCUAAUACCGGAUAAUAUUUUGAACCGCAUGGUUCAAACGUGAAAGACGGUCUUGCUGUCACUUAUAGAUGGAUCCGCGCUGCAUUAGCUAGUUGGUAAGGUAACGGCUUACCAAGGCAACGAUGCAUAGCCGACCUGAGAGGGUGAUCGGCCACACUGGAACUGAGACGCGGUCCAGACUCCUACGGGAGGCAGCAGUAGGGAAUCUUCCGCAAUGGGCGAAAGCCUGACGGAGCAACGCCGCGUGAGUGAUGAAGGUCUUCGGAUCGUAAAACUCUGUUAUUAGGGAAGAACAUAUGUGUAAGUAACUGUGCACAUCUUGACGGUACCUAAUCAGAAAGCCACGGCUAACUACGUG
RNAcentral lists this ribosomal RNA (497 nucleotides) under uncultured bacterium. Its description in RNAcentral is "partial 16S ribosomal RNA". It matches the Rfam family "Bacterial small subunit ribosomal RNA", at positions 28 to 507 of the family's 1533-position model. The record is from RNAcentral.